AUGGCUCGAGGAGACGGCGUCGCCGCCGGAGUCGAUGUCCAUGUCGGCUGCGGUGCUCGGCUCGGCGCGGUCCGCGGGGGCCGUCCUCCCGCCGGCCAGCCGCUCCGCCACUCUCAUUGCGCCGGCGAGGGCGAGCAGGCGCUUGGCGGAGCCGACGACGACCGCCCCCGCCGGCGCGCGGAGGAGGGCGUCCUCGGCCGCGCCCGCGCCCGCGCGGGGCAGGGCCUCGACCCUGGCGUAGAGGUUGCCGGCGCUGUCCAUCAGGCACUCCUUCCCGAGCAGGCUGACCGGCAGGGCGAGGAAGGCCGCGGCGUCCUCGGCCGAAUCCUGGAGGGGCGUCGGCGCGUCGGCGCCGACGAGGAGCCUCACGCCGAGCGGCGCCGUCAUCUGGAGCUCGGCGGGGCGGUUCCCCCUGAUCCGAUCGAUAGCUCGGCCAGCUUACCGAGGAAGGAAACCGUCUUUGGUUAG
This 468-nucleotide ribosomal RNA is filed under the name Triticum aestivum (bread wheat). RNAcentral describes it as "partial small subunit ribosomal RNA". The record is from RNAcentral. Lineage: Eukaryota; Viridiplantae; Streptophyta; Magnoliopsida; Poales; Poaceae.